This 565-nucleotide long non-coding RNA is filed under the name Oncorhynchus mykiss (rainbow trout). Its description in RNAcentral is "lncRNA (ENSOMYG00000063191.1)". The record is from RNAcentral. Lineage: Eukaryota; Metazoa; Chordata; Actinopteri; Salmoniformes; Salmonidae.
AUGGAUUUGAGAAGGGAUACCGUGGACAACAAUCCUGUGUUUCAGAUGUCCCUCAGUCGCCAUCAAGGAUGGAUCAAAGUGUCAGAACCAGAGAGCAACCUCUGUCAGGUGAAGUCCACAAAACAUAUUGCAUGUAACAAGACAGUUGUUACAUAACCUACAGCAUCGUCAAGCAAGGUCAGCUGUGUGGUCUACUUAAAGACCCCAUGCAGUGAUUUGACCUCUUCAUGGAACCAACACAGGAGCAGGGGCUGCUGCUGAUGCUUCUACUCUAUAUUACACCAUGACCCAUAUACACUCAUUACCCCCCAAGCUACACACACACACACAAGCAUGCACACACAACCGCACGUACGCGCCCACACACACACCUUUGGUAAAAUAUGUUCUAACAGGUGACGUUACAACAGGUUACAACAUUCCUUGAUGGGAAGGAAUAGUGCAGGCCUAUUACAUGCUCUCUCUAUAGGCAGGAUAUCACCAUUUCACUAAUAUCAUACAAAUCAAUAAAUCAUGGCACGUUUUGGCCUCAUUCAGUAGCAUUUCAUCUGAUAAAGUAGAAUAC